GUGGGGAAUCUUGCGCAAUGGGCGAAAGCCUGACGCAGCCAUGCCGCGUGAAUGAUGAAGGUCUUAGGAUUGUAAAAUUCUUUCACCGGGGACGAUAAUGACGGUACCCGGAGAAGAAGCCCCGGCUAACUUCGUGUCAGCAGCCGCGGUAAUACGAAGGGGGCUAGCGUUGCUCGGAAUUACUGGGCGUAAAGGGCGCGUAGGCGGACAGUUUAGUCAGAGGUGAAAGCCCAGGGCUCAACCUUGGAAUUGCCUUUGAUACUGGCUGUCUUGAGUACGGGAGAGGUGAGUGGAACUCCGAGUGUAGAGGUGAAAUUCGUAGAUAUUCGGAAGAACACCAGUGGCGAAGGCGACUCACUGGCCCGUUACUGACGCUGAGGCGCGAAAGCGUGGGGAGCAAACAGGAUUAGAAACCCCAGUAGUCC
This 425-nucleotide ribosomal RNA is filed under the name uncultured bacterium. RNAcentral's name for it is "partial 16S ribosomal RNA". It matches the Rfam family "Bacterial small subunit ribosomal RNA", at positions 354 to 796 of the family's 1533-position model. The record is from RNAcentral.